RNAcentral lists this ribosomal RNA (377 nucleotides) under uncultured bacterium. RNAcentral's name for it is "bacterial SSU rRNA". It matches the Rfam family "Bacterial small subunit ribosomal RNA", at positions 521 to 896 of the family's 1533-position model. The record is from RNAcentral.
UAAUACAGAGGUCUCAAGCGUUGUUCGGAUUCAUUGGGCGUAAAGGGCGCGUAGGCGGCGGGGUAAGUCGGGUGUGAAAUCUCAGGGCUCAACCCUGAAACUGCACUCGAUACUGCUCUGCUUGAGGACUGGAGAGGAGACUGGAAUUCACGGUGUAGCAGUGAAAUGCGUAGAGAUCGUGAGGAAGACCAGUGGCGAAGGCGGGUCUCUGGACAGUUCCUGACGCUGAGGCGCGAAGGCCAGGGGAGCAAACGGGAUUAGAUACCCCGGUAGUCCUGGCAGUAAACGGUGCACGUUUGGUGUGCGCGGAUUCGACCCCGUGCGUGCCGGAGCUAACGCGUUAAACGUGCCGCCUGAGGAGUACGGUCGCAAGAUUA